RNAcentral lists this small nuclear RNA (196 nucleotides) under Brassica napus (rape). RNAcentral's name for it is "snRNA U2". It matches the Rfam family "U2 spliceosomal RNA". From Rfam's summary of the family: U2 is a small nuclear RNA (snRNA) component of the spliceosome (involved in pre-mRNA splicing). Complementary binding between U2 snRNA (in an area lying towards the 5' end but 3' to hairpin I) and the branchpoint sequence (BPS) of the intron results the bulging out of an unpaired adenosine, on the BPS, which initiates a nucleophilic attack at the intronic 5' splice site, thus starting the first of two transesterification reactions that mediate splicing. Lineage: Eukaryota; Viridiplantae; Streptophyta; Magnoliopsida; Brassicales; Brassicaceae. The record is from Rfam by way of RNAcentral.
AUACCUUUCUCGGCCUUUUGGCUAAGAUCAAGUGUAGUAUCUGUUCUUAUCAGUUUAAUAUCUGAUAUAUGGGUCAUCGGCCCAUACGAUAUUAACUAUAUUUUUUUAGGGAAAAGGCCCAUCAAGAUAGCUUGCUAUCUGGCCUUUUGGGAGUCGCCCUUGCGUUGCACUAGUGCACGGGCCUGGCUCAACCCAU